GCGGCCAAUAAGACGUUUUCUUUCCAGUCAUUUUCCAAACCUUCCUCAGUAUCGUGGAGGCAAAAAGCCCUACACGAAGCAGAACCUAGAGUUGAAGAGAGCGGCCUUGAAAUUGCCUCCCUUGUUUGAAGAUGCUCAAGUCCAAGCUUAACGAACCUGGGGUACUGCUACUAGCAAACUGAAUAAGCAAAUAAGACAAGUUGGGUCUUGGUAAUACUCUAUCUAUCUGGAAUGGUGGUCCCCUCUUGGCUCCGAACUAUUCUAGCCAGAAGGUAUCACUCUUCUGGUUUAUUUAGUUGCAAUACAAGAAGAUUUUGGAAUGGGAGGGAUCUAAUGACGAGGUCAUUUCCAUUUGUAAAUGAUGCUCAGACUCCAGUUACACUCGGAUUGUCGCAAGAUUCGACCCUUUCGUUGAUCUCAUCAACUGUAUGGAGAUCUCCUGGAACUGUCGGAUUUUGUGGACUUGCUAGGGGAGAUUCAGCUUUGCCUGUAUUGGAUAGCGAUGAGGAUAUUUCAGAAGAUGUGGUCGUUGAUGCUUUGCCAUGCAAUGAUUCGCGAGAACUGAAGGAACAUUUUGAUGAGGUGAAUACUCGUGCUGGUAAAAGAAAAGCUAAAAGUAAUAAAAAGAAGUCGAUAGUGGAGUUUAGUAAAGUUGACGCUGAUUUACUUCCAACUGUUAUUCUAGUCGGACGUCCAAAUGUGGGCAAGUCGGCGUUGUUUAACCGUUUUAUUCAAAGGAGAGAAGCUCUUGUGUACAAUACCCCAGAUGACCAUGUUACACGGGACAUACGAGAAGGCAUUGCCAAAUUGGGUGAUUUGCGGUUUAGGGUGUUGGAUUCAGCUGGUCUUGAAACAGCAGCAACUUCCGGAAGUAUUCUUGACAGAACUACAGGAAUGACUGGUCAUGUACUUGCAAGGUCUCAAUUUGCGAUGUUCUUGAUUGACGUGAGAGAUGGAUUGCAGCCUCUUGAUUUCGAGGUGGGGUCGUGGUUGCGCAAACACGCAUCUGGAAUCCCUACUCUUCUAGUGAUGAAUAAGUCUGAAUCGCUUGAUGAUCACCGAGGAUACCUUAUGUCAGCUGCUGGCGAAGCCUAUAAAUUGGGAUAUGGGGAUCCUAUUGCAAUAUCUGCUGAAACAGGACUUGGUAUGGGAGAUCUUUAUGACUCUCUCCGUCCUCUUCUUGAGGAAUAUAUGCUCCGUGUCUUAAAUGAGAAGGCUAGUCAGAGUAAUGACUCCUCUUCUGAGGUUGACGAGUCCAAGUUACCUUUGCAAUUGGCUAUUGUAGGCCGACCCAAUGUUGGCAAGUCUACAAUGUUGAAUGCGUUGUUGCAACAGGAACGUGUUCUGGUGGGACCUGAAGCUGGUUUAACAAGAGAUUCAGUUAGAGCUGAGUUCCAAUAUGAAGAACGAACGGUGUAUUUGGUUGACACGGCUGGUUGGUUGCAAAGAUCGAAGCAGGAGAAAGGACCAGGGUCCUUGAGUGUCAUGCAGUCCCGAAAAAAUCUUAUGAGGGCUCAUGUCAUCGCUUUGGUGCUUGAUGCAGAUGAGAUUGCAAAAUCCAGGUGUAGCAUGAAUCAUGCUGAGGUAGUUAUAGCGAGGCGUGCGGUAGAAGAAGGUCGUGGUUUGGUUGUGAUUGUGAACAAGAUGGAUCUUUUGAGAGGGAAGGAAAAUGCUAAACUAUAUGAGAAGGUCAUCAAAGCUGUUCCGGAAGAAAUUCAAACAGUUAUUCCUCAGAUAACAGGAAUUCCAGUUGUAUUUGUGUCUGCACUAGAGGGAAAAGGUCGGAUAGCUAUAUUGCGCCAGGUCAUGGAGACGUAUGAAAAAUGGUGUUUAAGGUUGUCAACUGCACGUCUUAACCGUUGGCUUUGCAAGGUUAUGAGUAGGCAUUCAUGGAAGGAUCAAAAGGCAAAGCCAAAAAUCAAGUAUUUCACACAAGUGAAGGCUCGACCGCCAACUUUUGUGGCGUUUAUACGUGGCAAAACUGAAUUUUCAGACACGGACAUUAGGUUCCUAACUAGAUCUUUGAAGGAAGACUUUGACUUGGGGGGAAUUCCCAUCCGAAUUAUGCAGCGAGCUGUUUCAAGAAAAGCAGAUGCUGGUGCUAAAGGCAAUAAAUCUUGUGGAAGGAUGACAGACAAGAUUACCUCUGACAAGAGAGCUGUAUCUCCUGACAAGAUUUGCUCUGACAAGAGAACUGAAGAUUCCCCAACACCAACCACUUAGCGAGUUUCCUGCAUUGCGCCACGCUGAUAGUGAGAAGAAGGAACAAGAUUGGCGGUGUUUGUAUUUGUCACUUAGGGAGCAAGCAAGCCAGUAAGGCAUAUUUCACUUACGGCUUUGUCAUGUGUAAGGCAUGGGCAAGUGGUAGCAGGAAUCAACAACAGCAUAUAGUGUCUCCUGAUUCUGCAACGGGCGAGUCAUCCGGCUCCAAUGGGACACAAAACAGAUGUUCUUUUACCAGUCUGAUGAAAUUAAACCAUUUAGGAUUUGGUGCUUCAUGUUAGUUUAAGAAUAGAUCAAAUUUUGUCGUUAAACUACAUGUAAACUUUUCUUUGUAAAUAUAUCCAAUAGUUGCAUGUGACAAUGAGACGUUCCACAGUGAUGUUUUCUUGACCAAUCC
Molecule: RNA transcript, 2620 nt
Organism: Papaver somniferum (opium poppy)
Lineage: Eukaryota; Viridiplantae; Streptophyta; Magnoliopsida; Ranunculales; Papaveraceae
Gene name: GTPase Der-like
Exons: 11
Source: RefSeq, a predicted model, not a curated record